GAUGAACGCUAGCUACAGGCUUAACACAUGCAAGUCGAGGGGAAACGACAUCGAAAGCUUGCUUUUGAUGGGCGUCGACCGGCGCACGGGUGAGUAACGCGUAUCCAACCUGCCCACCACUUGGGGAUAACCUUGCGAAAGUAAGACUAAUACCCAAUGAUAUCUCUAGAAGACAUCUGAAAGAGAUUAAAGAUUUGUCGGUGAUGGAUGGGGAUGCGUCUGAUUAGCCUGUUGGCGGGGUAACGGCCCACCAAGGCGACGAUCAGUAGGGGUUCUGAGAGGAAGGUCCCCCACAUUGGAACUGAGACACGGUCCAAACUCCUACGGGAGGCAGCAGUGAGGAAUAUUGGUCAAUGGGCGAGAGCCUGAACCAGCCGAGUAGCGUGCAGGAUGACGGCCCUAUGGGUUGUAAACUGCUUUUAUAAGGGAAUAAAGUGAGCCACGUGUGGCUUUUUGCAUGUACCUUAUGAAUAAGGACCGGCUAAUUCCGUGCCAGCCGCCGCGGUAA
Molecule: ribosomal RNA, 508 nt
Filed under: uncultured bacterium
Lineage: Bacteria
Description: partial 16S ribosomal RNA
Rfam family: Bacterial small subunit ribosomal RNA
Source: RNAcentral